RNAcentral lists this ribosomal RNA (253 nucleotides) under uncultured bacterium. RNAcentral's name for it is "partial 16S ribosomal RNA". It matches the Rfam family "Bacterial small subunit ribosomal RNA", at positions 524 to 776 of the family's 1533-position model. The record is from RNAcentral.
UACGUAGGGUGCGAGCGUUAAUCGGAAUUACUGGGCGUAAAGCGUGCGCAGGCGGUUCGCCAAGUCAGGUGUGAAAUCCCCGGGCUUAACCUGGGAACUGCGUUUCUAACUGGCAGGCUAGAGUGUGGCAGAGGGGGGUGGAAUUCCACGUGUAGCAGUGAAAUGCGUAGAGAUGUGGAGGAACACCGAUGGCGAAGGCAGCCCCCUGGGCUAACACUGACGCUCAUGCACGAAAGCGUGGGGAGCAAACAGG